CUUCAGCGAGCCCAGCCACAGCGGCUCGCCGUCCUUCUUCUUGCGGCCGUAGGUGGCCAGCAGGGCCUGCGCCUC
This is a non-coding RNA of Streptomyces varsoviensis, 75 nucleotides long. NCBI's taxonomy places the organism in Bacteria, Bacillati, Actinomycetota, Actinomycetes, Kitasatosporales, Streptomycetaceae. The record is from Rfam.